Long non-coding RNA from Ficedula albicollis (Collared flycatcher), 3207 nucleotides. The record is from Ensembl. NCBI's taxonomy places the organism in Eukaryota, Metazoa, Chordata, Aves, Passeriformes, Muscicapidae.
CCCCCCCCCCCCCCCCCCCCCCCCCCCCCCCCCCCCCCCCCCCCCCCCCCCCCCCCCCCCCCCCCCCCCUCCCCCGGAGCCCCGGGCGCGCUCCCGUCCCCCUUCCCGCGUGUCCGUGUCCCCGGUGUCCCCACGCGUGGCGGCGGAGGGAAGGUUCGAGAAGGCGUUUGAGCGGGAUCAGAGCAGUGCCCCAGGUCGCUGCGGGGAGCCGGGGAUGCAGUUUUAGGGGUGGAAUUGUGGUAGAAGCAGGUCCCGGAUCUCGCUGUGAGGGGUCCUGACGGCUCCGGUUCGGUGUUUGUGCCGGGAGGAGGGUGGUGGGCGGCUCUGACUCGUCUGGCUCCAUCCCCGCCGUGCUGGGGGGCUCUGCCCGCUCCAUGCCCCGAGGAAAACGCUGGGACCCCCGGCCAAGCCCCUGCUCCCCCUGAAACCUUGCAUGCCCCCUUGCCCCACACCGCUUAUUUUUGCCUGCCUCGCUCCUGUUGCAUUUCAGUGAGUCACGCAAUUAAUCCUUGGCAAUUGCCUUCUCGAUAUUGCUUUAUGCCCUGUGUUUAAAUUCCUUUGUGUCCUUUGAGCUGAAAAAUAAGGCGCUGAGAAGAGGGACUACUUUUGCCGAAGGGAUUUUUGUUUCCCUGCCUGUGCCUCGAGCGUGGCUGCGGGCGUGUGGCCGCUGGGAGGGCCCAGCCGGGGUUUCCUAUGGCAGUGGGAGAGGUUGCUGGUCCAGGGGCCGGCUUGGCUCCUUUCCGAGCUCCCCAAGGCUGGGGGAGGCUGUUUUGGGGCUCUGUGGCUGCCCUGUGUGGACGUGGCUGGGGUCUGGUUGUGGCCAUGGUGAUGUUGCUCCUUGCAGAAAAAUGUGCAAGGUUUCAAACCUCUCCAGGAGGCAAAAGUCACCUAAAGGGAACACGGAGAGACAGAAAAAGACCUUUUCAAAUCCGGCUGGGGCUGGGAGGACCCCGGUGGGUGUCGGACGUGGGGACAGCAGUGUCGGGGUUGUGCUGGUGGCUCCUUUCCCCGUGGCACAGCAGCACCUCGUCCAGCUCGCCCGGAGCUGCCGGGACCUGCAGCGCUUGACUCGCCGGUGACCCCGGUGCCGGCGCUCGCCGAAGUCGCGCCCACCGUCACUCACCCCGCGCCGCGAGGAAAAAGCUCCGAUUAUCCAAAUACAGCCAUUAAAGGGGAAAUGUGUUUUUAGGACUGUCAGAGUGAUUAAUGAGGGUUAGCAAUCCUUGCAAAUGCACUUGUUUAGUCUAACUGGCAGCCUCUCCUCGGCUAUUGAUUUAGGGCGGCAGUUGCCGUGUGGAAGGAGCGGGGCUGCGCCGGGGCACGGCGCGGGGCCCGGCCGAGCGGCACGGCACGGCACGGCACGGCACGCUCUGCUCUGCCGGAGGCAGCCCAACAAAGGCAACAUUAUCCCCUGCGCCGGGGAAGGAAUGACUUGGACGCACACGCCGGGCGCUCCGCGUGCCUUAUAAAUAUCCCCGUCUGUAAAGCCCGAAGCCCGGCUGACCACAGCCACGCCGUCCGCCCAAUAAAUACCUGAAUCAAAGAGCCAGGCCCUAUUUUUUCUUGUUGUUUUCCUUCCUCUCCUGCACAAAAAUCCCCGAUGUCUUCUAGGUGAUGCAGAGGUGGCUGCCCGCAGACGUACAAGGCGUUUCAGAGUCCGGAGCGGAGCACGGCGUCCUCGAGGGCUGGAGCCUGCCCGGGGUCAGGUCGGGAUGCAGAGGCAUGGGCCAGAGCAGAGCCGUGGUGGGCGGAUGAGAAGUUCCUCAGCUGCAUAAAGCAGCUUUUCUUUCCACGUGAGCGCUGCUGGAAGCCACGGAGAACACGGGCUCUGUUUGUCCUCAAAGCCAGAGUGCCGUGGACACCUUCUGUCCCCUCACCAGCAUCCCCGUGCCCAGCCUGGGGUCAGGGGUUUGCUUUGGGGCACACUUGGAGCUGAGAGCAGACCUGGAGGGACAGAGCCGUGCUUGGAGGUGGCAGCUGAGGUCCUUUGCCAGGGCUGUGAGCUGGAGCCCUGCGGGAGGAGCAGCUGGAGUGGUGACACAGAGCGGCCGGGAUGGCACCGGGGUGUGGAGCUCCCCUGGGGUGGCACCGUGAGCACUGCCCCACACUGCCCUGGUGUGGGGUUCACCUCCAGCCACUCCGAGCAGUGGCACAGCACAAGUGACAAGAGAACGAGGUGAGUGGAGAAGAGACAAAGGCACCAAAGCAAGAAUAGUGUGGGCAAGCACCUGAGGCACUACAGUGGCCAGGAAUGCCACGAAUGGGAAUGGACUUUCCUCUGGAUAACGGCUGAAGAGCUGCUGCUGCCUCUGCCCUGGCCACAGAUUGGUGUGUGGUGCAAAUCCUCCAGCAGCAAAUCCUCCAGCAGCUCCAGUUCCAGCUUCAGCAGUGAUAUGCCAGCAUCUUCCUCACUGCACCAGGACACCCGGCCUUGGCUGGUCACCAGUGACCCCGUGGGAAGUGCCCAGUGUGACCAUGGCCGUGGUUUUUCCUGUUCUGCAGUGUCUGAUCAGCGUGGCAGACCAGCACAGGGCCCCUGGCAGGUGACAAACCCUGGUCCUGGGCUGAGCCGUGGCAGUGGUCCCGCUCCCUCCUGCAGGGUCACAGUCCCCUCUGCUUAUUGUGGUGAAUGACUGCAGGGUGCUGGUCCUUACACACAAACAUUGCAGCUGAACCUCACGGAGGGCGCAGGGGAGGGCGCUCAGCAGGCAGCUCCGUGUGCAGAGCAGGCUCCUGGAGCUCAGUCACAGAGAUUUACGCAGCCCCUUGUGUCUCCUGAAGGUGUUCGUGGAAAUCUCCAGGAGCAGCUUUGCCAUGACUUCAUCCCACCUUGCAGCGUGGUGCAGGGAGACAGGACAGGUGGAUGUGACCCACGGGGAGGUGCCUUUGCCAAAGGUGACAGUGGAACCCUGACCCUGGUGGGCUGAGCAGAGCUGGACAGGACACCCGACACUGUGCAGGGUGCAACGUGACCUCUACCAACACCUUGUGGUCCCAAAAUUCAUGGAUCACCCCUCUUGGCCUGGCAAAAUUUGGAAGGAGAUGAAGGAUGCAGCAUCCUGGGCAUCUGGUGGCUUCUGGGGCUUGACAGACCCUUCCUGCAGACACCUCAGUGAACAGAGAACUGAAAUGGCCUUUUUUGUGUCCCCUGCAGCUGCAAAGGGGCUGUGCCAGUGCCCACCACAGCAGCCCCUGCAUCUCCAGUGC